GUAAAUUACAGGUCAUUAGUUGGGCUUUUCACUAAAAUGGCUCUAACGGGUAAGCUAGAAGCUGAAGUAGAGGUCAAAGUAGCCGCCGAUAAGGCCUAUGGCAUCUUUAGGAGCCAAACGCACCAACUUCCCAACAUCGCCUCUGACAUGAUACACAAAGCUGAGAUUCAUGAAGGUGAUUGGGAAACUCCUGGCUCCAUCAAGUCCUGGAAUUAUACCAUAGAGGAUAAUGUUCUGAGUCUGAAGGAGACGAUAGAGAAAAUAGACGAGGAAAACAAGUCUAUCACCUAUAAAGUUGUGGAUGGAGAUGUAUUGAAGCUUUACAAGAGCAUGAAAGUCACCAUUCAGGUAACUGCUAAGAAUGAUGGAAGCAGCUUGAUGAAAGUUAUCAUAGAUUAUGAGAAGCUAAAGGAGGAUUCUCCUGAUCCACAUCCUUACUUGGAAUUUGCUGCCAAGGUCUUUAAGCAUAUCGAGACUCAUCUUCUCAAGGCCUAGCACAAAAUUAAUUAGUUAAUUAAUUAAUCAAUGUGCUUGCAUGGACAUAUGUAGUAAUUGUAGUUGAGUUGAUAAUAGCCUACUUGUAUGUACUUGAAUAAGGAAAGCAUCCCUGCCAGGCUCUUAUAAUGUCACUUGAUCUAUGUGCAGUAAUGAUAAUCAUUAUAUUAUGUUUGUUUAAUAUAUAUA
This 684-nucleotide unclassified non-coding RNA is filed under the name Hevea brasiliensis (rubber tree). The record is from RNAcentral. Lineage: Eukaryota; Viridiplantae; Streptophyta; Magnoliopsida; Malpighiales; Euphorbiaceae.